Lates calcarifer (barramundi perch) is the source of this 974-nucleotide long non-coding RNA. RefSeq lists it as uncharacterized. Lineage: Eukaryota; Metazoa; Chordata; Actinopteri; Centropomidae. The record is from RefSeq and is a predicted model, not a curated record. The transcript is spliced from 5 exons.
GUGUUUCCCUUUGUUUGCUGCAGCAUAUUGAUCUGCAUGUGUUACUGCCUGUAGAUAUAUCAGCUGAAGUUGGCUGUAUCAUCGGAUGCAUUAUUUGAAGAGAGCACCAGGGGCACACACCUCCUCCAAGACGCCUUGUGAUUUGCUGAGGUGCCAUAACAACCUGGGACAGGAAGGAAAGAACUGCGGCGCUUGUGAAUAGGGAUCCUUCAGCGGUGGGGGACCGGUGGGGCGGGGCGGGCGUCCGGAUGCCCCGAUCGAUGACUGCCAUCUUUUACACUGCAGGAGGGCAGGGCCCACAGUGACCAAGACCGUGAGAGCGAAAUUACAGCUAUUUGCACGCAAGAGAGCAAUGGCAGGAGGAGGUUGGAGGGAGGCGUGUUGAGAGAGACGGAGGCCGGGGAGAGAGGCCCCUCCUGGAAAAAUCAAUGCUAAUGACUGCAAAACAAAAACUGCGGUGCCCAUCAUGGAGUGGAAAACGAAAUGCUGCUCACAGUGACCUCCAAGUGACUGCUGGAAGGCUCUAAGCCUGACUCCUUCACCUGGCAGAACCGUGAAGCAAGUAAACAAACAGUGCAGACGCUGGAGGGUUGAUCAGAGGGAGAAUUCAAAUGAAUGUUCUACAGACAGCGCAUAAAAAGGUAUGCUUGAAAUUAGCUUCUGGUGAGGUGUUAUUUUUACUGAUACUCUAAAGGAGCUCACCACAAAAUUUUACAUGUGGAGAUCAGUUUACCAGUCAGGAACAGUACUACUAAGCAUAGAAAAACCAAAUGAUGAAUGAUUUGGCCUCCGGGGAGGCUUAUAUCAAGUCUGAGUAAAUAACCCUAAUGACAUCAUCAGGGUUGUCUUAGCUUGAGCUUGGAUUAAAAAUUCAUAACAGAAAGCCUGUGUUAGCGUUUGGAUGAGUGGCAUUUGAAAGAUACAGGUACACAGGGUGUUAAGCUGCUUUCAUGUCAUAUCUGAGUUUUCAUAAU